RNAcentral lists this long non-coding RNA (604 nucleotides) under Homo sapiens (human). Its description in RNAcentral is "HSALNT0316534". The stretch from base 34 to 309 matches the Rfam family "SOX2 overlapping transcript exon 3". Lineage: Eukaryota; Metazoa; Chordata; Mammalia; Primates; Hominidae. The record is from RNAcentral.
AUAAACGAUUUUUCUUGUUGCAGGGGAUUGCAGUGGCAAAGCUAGGCUAGGUCUUGGAGGCUGGUGUAAGGCGAUGUGGGUGAAGGCAGGAGGCUGAUGGAAAGACUGGGGGGAAGAAAAGCCGAAAUGGAUUCACGGUGCCUUGGAUGAAGGACGAGAGGGGAACUGCAAGCUCCUUCAACUGGUUCUGUCCGGUGAGAAGUGAUCAAGCUUGGGCUGACAAGAGGCUCAGGGAGCCCUCACGUUCUUUCGCUUUUUUACCUGCCAAUCAAACUGCUACAAGACAACACCCUGAUCUGGCAUGGACAUUUAUUCUUCUUAGGAUGGCUGCCAGGGAAUAGAUGAAAGGCAGAAGUGGCGAUGGGUGACUGAUGUGGCACACUUAUGAAGAAAAGCCUCUUUUUCCAUGCUUGUUUUUCCUCCCCAAGGAGCCAACAGAGUUUCUAUUCUCCAACUCUGCUCUUCACCUUACCCAAGUCAUUGCAGUCACCUGGAGUCACGGAAAUGACCAUGAUUGCCUGAACUUUCAUGACUUCUGUGGAUAACUGUGGUUGCAGAAAAGAGAAAACCUGGACCGUGAGGGACAUUUCACUCCCUGGGCUUU